GUUUUCUUGUUUUGCUGGUUUUUUUUUUCUUUACGUUGUAUGUUUUAACUUGGCCCAUGCUUAAUUGCUCAGAAACUAGGGGAAAAAAGAUAAGAAAAAUGAGAUCUUUUAUACUUUCUUGGCUAAUUAAUUGUCCUUACUCGGCAGUCAUAGAUUCAAGAAUUUGGUUUCAUCCUUGUUUAAGUUCCUUAAAUUUUCUCGGCAACCAAACAUGUUAUCAAUGAAACUUUUUUAUGUAUCUGGUUCCAAGUUCUGUGUUAGUUGGGAUUUGCUUUGUUAUUAAAGGUUUUAAAUGGUCAUAAUAACAGCAUUGAAACACUAAGAAUGAACAGCAGAUUAUAAUAUAUUUACUUUCAUGUUCUAGGCUUGCUUAUGCUUGCUUUAAUUAUACGUUUUCAAUUUAAUAAUGUCUAGAAAAUAAUUUAUCUAUUUUUCUCCAUUAAAUGUUGACCAAAAUAUUGGAAGAGUAGGUACAUAGGCAGAGAAUUUUGUUCUUGUUGUUAUUGUGUGUGUGCAUGGGCCCUAUAACCCAAAUAUUUGGGCCAAUUAGAAGCCUAACGUUGAGUAUUUGGGCGGUUCCAGGAGUUUGAAAUUGAUUUUCAUGUCAUGGCUUUGAAAUUGUAUGAGUAAAUUGAGAUGUGUUC
Molecule: unclassified non-coding RNA, 644 nt
Filed under: Hevea brasiliensis (rubber tree)
Lineage: Eukaryota; Viridiplantae; Streptophyta; Magnoliopsida; Malpighiales; Euphorbiaceae
Source: RNAcentral